AGAUUGCAUAAUCGGUUGCCUUCGGUCUUUGACCACGGAUGUACUGGCACUGACCGUUGAGGCAGUCUGUGAGAAGGUCGGGGAUCCCCCGGCCUUUUUCUUU
Molecule: small RNA, 103 nt
Filed under: Aquamicrobium sp. LC103
Lineage: Bacteria; Pseudomonadati; Pseudomonadota; Alphaproteobacteria; Hyphomicrobiales; Phyllobacteriaceae
Description: Mesorhizobium sp. LC103 Alphaproteobacterial sRNA ar35
Rfam family: Alphaproteobacterial sRNA ar35
Source: Rfam by way of RNAcentral